Molecule: ribosomal RNA, 1276 nt
Filed under: Isonychia ignota
Lineage: Eukaryota; Metazoa; Arthropoda; Insecta; Ephemeroptera; Isonychiidae
Description: large subunit ribosomal RNA
Rfam family: Bacterial large subunit ribosomal RNA
Source: RNAcentral
UUUUAGAUCUAACAAAUAAAAUUAGUUUGAAAGAUUAAGUAAGCAAAUCAUUGUGAGGAUAGUAAGUUUAGUAAAGGGUAAUGAUUAAAUUAAGAAGUGAUAGUUAAAGUACUGAGAGGGAAGGUUGAAAUAAUUAUAGCAAAGAGUAAAGUAGGUGAAUGCCGUACCUUGUGUAUCAGGGCUUAUCUAUUAGAGUGAAAGAGUUUAUAAUCCCGAAGUGAGAAGAGCUAACAAGUCAUAAGAGUUGAAGUAGCAAAUUCAUUUUACAUGGCUUGAUAGUAGUGAAAUAUUAGUCGGUUCUCAGAAUUUCUGGUUUCCCAAGAAAUGAAUUUAAUUCAGUCCCAGGAGGCUUGUUACCAUUAAAAGUAGCUUGUUUAAAGGGGAAAAAUAUUGUGGGGGAUGAGCUCCAUAAUAAGACUAGAACUGAUAAUUUAAAAGGUGGAGUAGGCUUGAAAUUAGCCAUCUGUGGAGUGUGUUUUAAUUCAGCUUUAAGAAAAAUAAUUUUAAGUUGUUUAGAGUUUAUAUUGGGACGCGAACUUAAAUUUGUAAGUGCGGGGAUAAUGAUAAGAUUAUUAAAAAUUAAGGUAAAGUGAAUGAAAGGACAGAUUUAGGUAAGGAACUCGGCAAAGUUGUGCUCGCCUGUUUAUCAAAAACAUCGCCUCUCGGCGUGAUGAGAGGUCUAACCUGCCCACUGAAAAUUGAAGGGCCGCGGUAUUUUGACCGUGCAAAGGUAGCAUAAUCAUUAGUCUUUUAAUUAAAGGCUGGUAUGAAUGGUUGGACGAGGUACAAACUGUCUCAUUUGAAACAUAAUUGAAUUUAACUUCUUAGUGAAAAGGCUGAGAUGAUAUUGGAGGACGAGAAGACCCUAUAGAUCUUUAUAAUGAAGGGGUUUGGCAAGUUUGGGAGAAGCUGGGUUAAGCUCAUAAAUUAUUUUGUUGGGGUGACAAGAAGAUAGAAAUAACUUUUCUUUAUUGAGAACAUAGAUUUAUGAAUAAAUGAUCCGUUAAGCGAUUAUAAGACUAAGUUACCUUAGGGAUAACAGCGUAAUCUUCUUCGAGAGUUCUAAUCGACAAGAAGGCUUGCGACCUCGAUGUUGGAUUAAGAGUUACUUUGGGCGCAGAAGUUCAAAGUUUAGGUCUGUUCGACCUUUUAACUCUUACAUGAUCUGAGUUCAGACCGGCGUGAGCCAGGUCGGUUUCUAUCCUCAAUUAAAUUCUGCGCCUUAGUACGAAAGGACCGGGCCCGAGAGUUAGACUUUUAAAUUUGAAUAAUAGUA